GGUCUCUAACCCAAAUAGGCAUGUAUUUGAAGCCGAGGGCGCGAGUCUUAACGUCUCCCGAAACCUUUUAUUGCUUCCGGGAGAUGUUGAAGGAUCUGGAGAUCCUGCUGGUGAUGUUGAGGAAGGGUCGUUGCAGCCGUCCUGGAAGCUUAGAGUCUCCUGCAUGCAGCCAUGGUGAUCGCAUCAACAUUCACACUCUCACUUGGGCAGGGCACUCACAGCUCCUAACAGGUGGCAUCUAUGUGUCAGUUAAUACUCGCACCAACCCCGAGGCACAGAAACUUAUCGACGUUGUUUAAAGGUGAAAACAGGUCCGAGGAGUGAAGAAAUGUGCUCAGGGUCAGUGUAGGACUUAUUUGUAGUGGGCAUUUGCAUUGGAGCUUAAAUGAUGUGAUCUUUGUUUUUCUGUGUCAUAGGUGACAGCAAUUUGAGAUCUAUACAGGGGGUUGUGACAACUUUCUGUACUGAUUAUGGCCGGAUUGAUGGGUCCAUCUACUUCAGUACUGAUGCUGUGACUGGUAAUGUGCCUCUGAAAGCUGGUCAAAAGGUUACUGCACUUGUGGAAGAAGAUAAAGCAACUCAUGUGUUGAAAGCCAUCAAAGACCAGAUCUUGAAAAUUGUGUUUUCCUCCCUGUUCUCCCAACCUGUGUUUGUUGUUCCUGUCUCUCUCUGCACCUGCCCCCACCCCCUUUGACCAGGUGGAUGCUAUAUCUGACCAUUUUGAUGAUUCUGGGCCAUCUGACCUUGGAACCAGUGUUUUAAUCAGUCGUGCCACCUUAGUGACAAAGGACGCGGUCUACAUUAAUAAAGAUACUUGCUUCUCACUGUCUAUCGUUCGUGAUGGCUUCGUGCCUUAUAAGGGCGACUGGCUAGAGGUCGAGUAUUGCGUGCAGCCGGGCACCUCAAACAUCAAUGCCCUCUCCGUGAAGCCCAUGAACUGUAGGCAUGUGGAUGAGGUAAUCUGUGUCCAUGUUUCACU
Molecule: long non-coding RNA, 979 nt
Organism: Marmota monax (woodchuck)
Lineage: Eukaryota; Metazoa; Chordata; Mammalia; Rodentia; Sciuridae
Exons: 4
Source: RefSeq, a predicted model, not a curated record